UACAGAGGUCUCAAGCGUUGUUCGGAUUUAUUGGGCGUAAAGGGAGUGUAGGCUGUGAGGUAAGUCUUCUGUGAAAUCUACGGGCUUAGCCUGUAACGUGCAGAGGAAACUGCUUCGCUUGAGUGUCGGAGAGGAUAGGGGAAUACCCGGUGUAGAGGUGAAAUUCGUAGAGAUCGGGUGGAACACCAGUGGCGAAGGCGCCUAUCUGGCUGACAACUGACGCUGAGACUCGAAAGCAUGGGGAGCAAACAGG
RNAcentral lists this ribosomal RNA (253 nucleotides) under uncultured bacterium. RNAcentral describes it as "partial 16S ribosomal RNA". It matches the Rfam family "Bacterial small subunit ribosomal RNA", at positions 524 to 776 of the family's 1533-position model. The record is from RNAcentral.